Molecule: ribosomal RNA, 489 nt
Filed under: uncultured bacterium
Lineage: Bacteria
Description: partial 16S ribosomal RNA
Rfam family: Bacterial small subunit ribosomal RNA
Source: RNAcentral
AUUGAACGCUGGCGGCAGGCUUAACACAUGCAAGUCGAACGGUAGCAGGAGAAAGCUUGCUUUCUUGCUGACGAGUGGCGGACGGGUGUGUAAUGCUUGGGAAUCUGUCUUAUGGAGUGGGAUAACUACGGGAAACUGUAGCUAAUACCGCGUAAUAUCUUCGGAUUAAAGAAUGGGACUUUUAGCCAUUCGCCAUAAGAUGAUCCCAAGUGGUAUUAGGUAGUUGGUGGGGUAAAGGCCUACCAAGCCGACGAUCUCUAGCUGGUCUGAGAGGAUGACCAGCCACACUGGAACUGAGACACGGUCAAGACUCCUACGGGAGGAAGAAGUGGGGAAUAUUGCGAAAUGGGGGAAACCCUGACGAAGCAAUGCCGCGUGAAUGAAGAAGGCCUUCGGGUUUUAAAGUUCUUUCGGUGGUGAGGAAGGCUAAUAUGUUAAUAGCAUAUUAGAUUGACGUUAGCCACAGAAGAAGCACCGGCUAACUCCGUG